Molecule: ribosomal RNA, 448 nt
Filed under: uncultured bacterium
Lineage: Bacteria
Description: bacterial SSU rRNA
Rfam family: Bacterial small subunit ribosomal RNA
Source: RNAcentral
UCGAGAAUUUUUCUCAAUGGGCGAAAGCCUGAAGGAGCGACGCCGCGUGGGGGAUGAAGGGCUUCGGCUCGUAAACCCCUGUCAUUUGCGAACAAACCUUGCGAUUUAACAGAUCGUGAGCUGAUUGUAGCGAAAGAGGAAGGGACGGCUAACUCUGUGCCAGCAGCCGCGGUAAUACAGAGGUCCCAAGCGUUGUUCGGAUUCACUGGGCGUAAAGGGUGCGUAGGUGGCAGGGUAAGUUUGAUGUGAAAUCUCCGGGCUUAACCCGGAAACUGCAUUGAAUACUAUCCUGCUCGAGGGUUGGAGGGGGGACUGGAAUACUUGGUGUAGCAGUGAAAUGCGUAGAUAUCAAGUGGAACACCAGUGGCGAAGGCGAGUCCCUGGACAACUCCUGACACUGAGGCACGAAAGCUAGGGGAGCAAACAGGAUUAGAUACCCGCGUAGUCC